This is a long non-coding RNA of Gallus gallus (chicken), 5289 nucleotides long. RefSeq lists it as uncharacterized. NCBI's taxonomy places the organism in Eukaryota, Metazoa, Chordata, Aves, Galliformes, Phasianidae. The record is from RefSeq and is a predicted model, not a curated record. The transcript is spliced from 3 exons.
GAGCACUUCAUGUGUUUUCAGAGCCUGGGUUUGUUUUCCUCCUGCACUUUUCAUAGCGGUGUUGAAGCUGUGCUGUCAAGGGAUCAGUGAGGGCUUAUGAACUCAGUGGCAAAGGCAGGCAAGUAGAAUGCGGUGAUUUUAUUCUUUUUUUUUUUUUCAUCCUCCUGCCUUGACAUCACUGCAUCAGCUUCUCUCAGAUCCACAUUUGCCUGCAUUCCUGUGGAAACCAUAUCACAAGAAUAACUGAAGCACUUGUAAGUGACUUGCACAAAGAGUUGACUCAGAACUCAGGUCAGUCUUCCGCUCUCAUUGUUGCACUUUGCUCCAUCCUCCUCCCUACCAGCUCAUGGAGUCUCUCUUGUUUUUCCUUGGCUAUCUAUUUCACUACAACAGUUGGCUGAAGAACCAGGAAGCUGUUUCUUAGCUUAAUUUAUACUUUUGUUUCCAUUCUGCAGUAGUUACUUGGUCUCCUUGAAGUUUCAAACUGAGAAUACUUGGAGAGCUCUCAACUUGGUGAUGUUAGUCUUUCCAAAGCUCUCACAGUAAUCCAUAAAUAUAGUGGUUCUAAAUAUUCGUAAGUGGAAAGAAAGAGUCUGAAGAUCUUGAAGUGGCUCUCAGGGUCAAGUUGAUGAGAUCUAACGCUGCCAGCCCUGAGAUUUCCUUUCCACACCCCCUCCCCAGAAGAAAAGCUCUUCUUGGACCUUGUGAAUAACCCCAGAAAACUACUAUGUCCUGCCAUGCUCUUUAUCACUGGAUGACAAAAGAGGAUUAUGACUAUUGUUAGGCAUUGAUUUUACUUUUCACCAAGCAAAAUCUCCAAUAAGCUAUACUUGGAAGAAUCGUUUGGGCUGAGUAAUCUCCUUGUCACACACUUGCUGCAAACAGAUGGAUUACUUUUGAUGUACGGUGGUAAAAUACUUCUCUCAUUUGGAGUCUUGCAAGAUGUACUUGUGCAGAUAAUGAAAGACAACACAUUAUUUCAAGAGUACUAGAGAUGCCUCUGUUAUCUAUGGAUAAAUCAGUGCUGAUAAGAGCAACAGAGUUCCAGUCCAAGGAAAUAUUCAAUUACAUGAGAUUUUCAUUUGUCAAUACAUUCCGACAGAUCCUUUUUGUAUGCCAAUAUCUUUUCAAAAGGGGAUUGGACAAUACUGACAACAUAAAUGAUUCUAAAUCCUUUUUCUGAUUUAUAUUCUGUAUUUGGUCGACUGUAAGUCUUGUAAAUUUGGGAAGUUCUGCUUCUGCUAAUUUUAGAAAUGUAUUUGUACAACGUUUGUUUUUCAGGUUGUUAGUAUAGGAUAUUAAAACAUGGUUGUUAAUCUGCCUGGGAGAUCUCUACAUAGAGUGUAUUUGGGUGAGGAACGUGAUAUGAUCCUUGCUCUUGGCCCCAGAGCAACCAGUCAUCUGUCAGUGUCGUGCCUACCUGUCCCACUGCUGUGUAACUCCUCCUUCCCAGAGACUGUUCCUCAGCCCCACAAGAACAUUGCUGUGCAUAGUGACGUGGAAAUUAGAACCACAGAUGACAGACAGCCUGAUGGGGACGUUAGCUGCUGAGCUCAAAGCGAAAGGGUGUUUUCACCUGGAUAAGCUGGAAAUGCUUUGGGGUUUAGUUGACAGCCAACAGAAAUUUGUAAAUAACAUACAAAAUUUUCCACACAGGUAUUUUAAGAGAAGACUAAGUGAUGUAAGCAUAUGAGAUAAAAGCAAUUUUGGAUCACAUGGGUGAAAAACAGCAUGAAAGCAAAGGAAAAUUGUCAAUGCUUUGGUAAUGAAAGCUUUUUAGAUGUGUUGAAUAAUUCAGUGUAGAGUCAAAAGUAUUCCACAGACAUAACAUAGCAGAUGUUGAUACAUCUAUAGAGUAUCUGUGAAUAUUUCCACACAGAAUGAUGCUCUCAGAUUCAACCUCAUAAUCUGCACAGCCAGGUGUUAUCACUCUCCUAAUCUCUCCAUUGCUAAAAGGCACCACAUGACUGGGUUCACUAGUGAGAUGUGGAUGUAUGUCUCACCCUGUCUCACUGCUCAGGCAAGCAAACUUGUGUGUACUUUGCAUAACAGCAGCACAAAGACUGUCCCGACAGCAAAACACAACACUGUUUUGUUCCCAGAUGUUACAAAAGAAUGCCGAAAGGCUUUUCUUGCUUAAGAAUAAUGCUCAGCAUGCUAGGUUUUGUUUUAGAUGCAAAAGAUUUGCCCACUCUUCUGGAUUUGGUUUUAAACAGACCCUUAGCUUCACUGUACAAGAAAAAGUAUUCAUUUUGUCUGAGGAGGUGUCCUCCUGUCAUUUUGAUUUAUUUUGUGGUGAAAAUUCCUCUUCCAUUUGUCAUAAUAUCUUUACUGCUCUCCGAUCAAUGAAUGUAGUUUGUGUGCUACUUGAAAGGAUCUGUGUUUCUCUCUUUGUAUCUCUACUCAAGGACAUAUUGCCUAUUAUACUUGCUUUUAGAUGACUUUUUUUUUUCUAGCUGCAUGUGUAAGUCCAGCAAAAUUAAGGAGGCUACAUAUUUGACAGGUAAAAUAUUAUGCUAGUCAAUAUUUGGUAAUAUUAAUAUCCUGAGGGGUAACUGUAUGACUCUUUCAGCAGUGUAGAAUCAUACUACUACUUGCUUACUACUGCAAAUGGAAAUCCUGUGUUUUUGAUGUAAAAUUUUAUCAUUGCUAAGAGGAGGUAAAGAAAGUUUUCUUCUUCUGGGAAUCACUUUCAGCUACUUAUGCAAAAUACAAUACAUAUUAGGAAAAUAUAAUUACAAUGUUUCCUACUGACUUUUUCAAUAAAUCUCUAUUUUCAGGGGAAAACAAACAAACAAACAAACAAUAACAACAACAAAAAACCCGCACCCCUAUAACAUAUUUCAGUUAAGGUUUAAGUUAUCAUUUCAGGUUUGCAAGUAAAGAUAAAAUUCAGAAUAUCAUGAGCAAAAGAUACAUAUAUAAGAUGGAGAGCCUUGGAGCCUGGGCAUCUGACAGUGCCAGCAGAAGUGCCAUAGCCAGGAUGCUCCCCAGGGAGCUGCAGCAGAGCAAUCCUGCAAAGAACACCCAGCACAUAGAAGACUAGCAUGUCUGAUCUGGUUGAUGGAGACAGCAGACUGGAAAUCAUUGCUUACCCUAGGAAACUAGUCAGCUAAAAUGAUUGACAGAGUAAUUAAGUGAUGCUACAUUUGCAGAACUAUUCUCACUUGCUUCAUUAAUCAGCGGUGGAACUCAGUUUUCCCAUUUCACUUAUUAGUUAUACAGUUGUGGUGGAGGUGAAUUAUUAGGCUCUAUAGUUUGUCUUCUAGGAUGUAAAUAUUUUGAAAUUUUGUGGUGAGAAUCUAUGUUCAAGUUUGUUUGGGCGGUACGUGCUAGUUUGGGAAAUAUAUCCUUUAAACAGAUAGAAACUUCACCAAAAUCAGAAACAUAUGUAGUUUUUUUGCCCCAAGCUAACCAUCUGUCUGGGGGGGAGAUGUGUGUGUAUUUCAUAAAUUUUCACUAGAUAUUAUAAUUGAUUUCCUUCAGAUAUGUUUAAAACAUUUUCUUCUUCUCUGUAAACAUGCCUGUAACAACAAAGUUUCUGGUGAGAUAGCUGUUUGCUCAAAACCUAGAAGUUUAAAAAAAAAAUUAUCCUCCACUGGAAUCUUAAAGCAAAAGUAUAUGUGUAUACUUCAUCCUGAAAAUAUUGUGCUGUGUUCAUUAGAAUUUGACUGACAUUAGAAUUAAAAAGUGAAUCCCAAUAUAUGCUUGGGGAAGAUGUACCUGUACCACCAAGAAACAGACACAAAAAGAACAUCUAUCUUUUUAGUGAGGCCAGAAUACUUGGAUAUAACAAAGUAGAACUAAGACUAAGACAAAGGCUUUCUGCUCUUUUUCUUAAAAUUAAUAAAAAUAUAUUGACUCUCUGUUUUAAUUUGUCUGGAAGUUUCAAAGCCUCAACGUUGAAAGAAAAGCUGUGCUGAAGAGCUUUGGGAUAGGAUUAAUUUAUUCCUGGCAGAGUUUACAACUUCUAUUUCUUUUGCUAAAAAGUGAUGUUUAAGACUGUUCAUAUGCUUUUGUUCCCAUUCUUUCUCCAUUAAGAUGUGAUAGAAUCAUAGUAUCAUAGAAUUGAUCUAGGUUGGAAAAGACCUUAAAGAUCAUCAUAAAGUGAUACAUUAGUUUUGGCAACUUAAUCACCAAAAUCUUAUUUUUGUUUUAUUAAGUUUCAGGUCACAUUGGCAGUCCUUCUUCAAUGAAAAAGUUCUGGUUUGUUUGCCUCUUAUGGCAUAUGCUUUUCUCUCUCUCUCUUUUUUUUCUUUUCUUUUUCUGGAAUAACACACAAGUCAAAGUUUCCAUUCACAUACUAACUAAUAAUGUAUUGCAAAGAAAUUGGGAAGAGCUGUUGACUCCCUUGAGGGCAGAGAGGACUCAGGAAUUAGAGGACUGGGCAGCCACUACCUUGAGGAAUUGGAGGACUGGGCAAUGACCAAUUACAAGAGGAUUAAAAAGACCAAGUGCUGGAUUCUGCUCCAGCAGGACAGGUCAGGGGUGAGUAUUUGUACAGACUGGAGUACAAGAGGCUGGAGAGCAGCCCUGUGGAAUGAGUCUUGGGUUCUGGCUGAUGGCAAGUUGAAUGUGAGCCAGCAGCAUGCCCUGGCAGCCUACAGGGCCAACUGUACCCUGGGGUGCAUCAGGCCCAGCACUGCCACCAGGUGGGGGAGGGGUUGUCCUGCUCUGCUCUGUGCUGUGAGACCUCAUCUCCUGCACUGGGAGCAGCUGUGGGUGCCACAACGUAAGAAGGAAAUAAAACUGUCAAAGAGUGUCCAAACGAGGGCUGCAAAAAUGGGAAAGGGUCUGGAGGACAAGGUGUGUGAGGAAGAACAGCUGAGGGGUCCCCUGUUUUGUUCAGCCCAGAGCAGAGGAGGCUGAGGGGACAUCUCAUGGUGGCCUGCAGCUCCUCACGAGGGAAGUCAAGGGGCAGCCCUGAGCUUUGCUCUCUGGUGACUUGUCUGGACACCUACCUGUGUGAUCUAUUGUAGAGAAUCUGCUUUAGCAUAGGAGUUGGACUCGAUGAUUUCUUGAGGUCCCUUCCAACCGCUGUGAUCCUGUGAUCUGAUCAUUUAAAUAUGCCAACACUGGCAGAUACAUUGCUAGUAAUGUGACUUCAUUGGGCUAAAUGGACAAUGACACCCAUUUGCACUUUAAAACUCAACUUUGUGCAUUGCUUCCUAUCCAAACAACCCACCAAAAGACUGUGGAGGUACAGUGACAGGCUGACAGAGUUAGCUGUACCUUUUCUGCAUUGGGAAGGAGAUAAGAGCAGAUAAUGGGCUUCCAAGAGAAACAGGA